Molecule: ribosomal RNA, 1253 nt
Filed under: uncultured bacterium
Lineage: Bacteria
Description: partial 16S ribosomal RNA
Rfam family: Bacterial small subunit ribosomal RNA
Source: RNAcentral
ACGGUUAAGCCGGCUUCGGCCGGGAAUACAGUGGCGAACGGGUGAGUAACACGUGACCAACCUGCCCCCCGCUCCGGGACAACCGCUGGAAACGGCGGCUAAUACCGGGUACUCCGCGGGCCCCGCAUGGGGCCGGCGGGAAAGCCCAGGCGGCGGGGGAUGGGGUCGCGGCCCAUUAGGUAGUAGGCGGGGUAGAGGCCCACCUAGCCGACGAUGGGUAGCCGGACUGAGAGGUCGACCGGCCACAUUGGGACUGAGAUACGGCCCAGACUCCUACGGGAGGCAGCAGUGGGGAAUUUUGCGCAAUGGGGGAAACCCUGACGCAGCAACGCCGCGUGCGGGACGAAGGCCCUCGGGCUGUAAACCGCUUUCAGCAGGGAAGACAAAAGACGGUACCUGCAGAAGAAGCUCCGGCUAACUACGUGCCAGCAGCCGCGGUAAUACGUAGGGGGCGAGCGUUAUCCGGAUUCAUUGGGCGUAAAGCGCGCGUAGGCGGCCGCCUAAGCGGAACCUCUAACCCCGGGGCUCAACCUCGGGCCGGGUUCCGGACUGGGCGGCUCGAGUGCGGUAGAGGAGAGGGGAAUUCCCGGUGUAGCGGUGGAAUGCGCAGAUAUCGGGAGGAACACCCAAGGGCGAAGGCAGCUCUCUGGGCCGUCACUGACGCUGAGGCGCGAAAGCUGGGGGAGCGAACAGGAUUAGAUACCCUGGUAGUCCCAGCCGUAAACGAUGGACGCUAGGUGUGGGGGGACCUGCCCUCCGUGCCGCAGCCAACGCAUUAAGCGUCCCGCCUGGGGAGUACGGCCGCAAGGCUAAAACUCAAAGGAAUUGACGGGGGCCCGCACAAGCAGCGGAGCAUGUGGCUUAAUUCGAAGCAACGCGAAGAACCUUACCAGGGCUUGACAUGCGAGUGAAGCCGGGGAGACCCGGUGGCCGAGAGGAGCUCGCGCAGGUGGUGCAUGGCUGUCGUCAGCUCGUGUCGUGAGAUGUUGGGUUAAGUCCCGCAACGAGCGCAACCCCCGUCCCGCGUUGCCAGCAUUAGGUUGGGGACUCGCGGGAGACUGCCGGCGUCAAGCCGGAGGAGGGUGGGGACGACGUCAAGUCAUCAUGCCCCUUAUGCCCUGGGCCGCACACGUGCUACAAUGGCCGGUACAGAGGGUUGCCACCCCGCGAGGGGGAGCGGAUCCCGGAAAGCCGGCCCCAGUUCGGAUCGCAGGCUGCAACCCGCCUGCGUGAAGCCGGAGUUGCUAGUAAUC